Molecule: ribosomal RNA, 605 nt
Filed under: Vishniacozyma victoriae
Lineage: Eukaryota; Fungi; Basidiomycota; Tremellomycetes; Tremellales; Bulleribasidiaceae
Description: partial large subunit ribosomal RNA
Rfam family: Eukaryotic large subunit ribosomal RNA
Source: RNAcentral
GCAUAUCAAUAAGCGGAGGAAAAGAAACUAACUAGGAUUCCCUUAGUAACGGCGAGUGAACCGGGAUGAGCUCAAAUUUAAAAUCUGGCGUCUUUCAGGCGUCCGAGUUGUAAUCUAUAGAGGCGUUUUCCGCGCCGGACCGCGUCCAAGUCUCUUGGAAUAGAGUAUCAAAGAGGGUGACAAUCCCGUACUUGACGCGACAACCGGUGCUCUGUGAUACGUUCUCAAUGAGUCGAGUUGUUUGGGAAUGCAGCUCUAAAUGGGUGGUAAAUUCCAUCUAAGGCUAAAUAUUGGCGAGAGACCGAUAGCGAACAAGUACCGUGAGGGAAAGAUGAAAAGCACUUUGGAAAGAGAGUUAAACAGCACGUGAAAUUGUUAAAAGGGAAACGAUUGAAGUCAGUCGUGUGAAAGGUAUUCAGCCGUCUCUGGCGGUGUAUUUGCCUUUCACGGGUCAACAUCAGUUUGAUCCGGUAGAAAAAGGCGGGAGGAAGGUGGCACCCUCGGGUGUGUUAUAGCCUCCUGUCAUAUGUGCCGGACCAGACUGAGGAACGCAGCUUGCCGCAAGGCCGGGGUUCGCCCACGUACAAGCUUAGGAUGUUGACAUA